CCUACGGGUGACAGCAGUGAGGAAUAUUGGUCAAUGGCUGGAAGGCUGAACCAGCCAUGCCGCGUGAAGGUCAGUGCCCUAUGGGCGUUAAACUUCUUUUGUGCGGGAGCAAUAAUGGUCACGUGUGGCCAGACGAGAGUACCGUACGAAUAAGCAUCGGCUAACUCCGUGCCAGCAGCCGCGGUAAUACGGGGGAUGCAAGCGUUAUCCGGAUUUAUUGGGUUUAAAGGGUACGUAGGCUGGGAGGUAAGUCAGCGGUGAAAUGCCCCCGCUCAACGGGGUGAAGUGCCAUUGAUACUGCCUGGCUGGAAUGCGGAUGCCGUGGGAGGAAUGUGUGGUGUAGCGGUGAAAUGCAUAGAUAUCACACAGAACACCGAUUGCGAAGGCAUCUCACGAAUCCGCGAUUGACGCUGAUGCACGAAAGCGUGGGUAUCAAACAGGAUUAGAUACCCCGGUAGUC
Molecule: ribosomal RNA, 460 nt
Filed under: uncultured bacterium
Lineage: Bacteria
Description: partial 16S ribosomal RNA
Rfam family: Bacterial small subunit ribosomal RNA
Source: RNAcentral